CCUGGAUAACCAUGAUCUGCCAGCUUCUUCAGCACCAAAGCCUCUUCCCAUGGUUUUUCCCUCUGUGACCAUUACCGCAAUCCUCCUAGGAAGUAAGGCCAACCACUACGGAGGCCGCUUUGCUGUCACCUCCACCACCUCCACCAACCAAAUCUGCUCUGUGUUUUCUUUUUCUUCAUCCCACUCAAGACUCACUGGCCCACACAAGAGAGCCUCAAAUUGACUCCUGCAAAGGCCUUCUGGGGGCUCUCUCCCGUCUUUGUACUUGCUCUCCCAAACCUAUCUAUACUGAAGGCAAACUCAUUCUUGUAAAAUGCAAGCUUUCAAAGCUUUUUCAAUUCUCAGAUAGCCUCCCUCACUCUCAUUUUACUAUUUUUGACAAUGGGAGACAUCUCAAAAUGGAUGGAGAUGCUUACUGCAGGCUUCCCAGAUGCGUAUCCCAGAUCUUCGCUUCCUAAGGCCCAGAAAGUCAAGAUGAAAUGUGCAGAGUUACUCAGAAGGUCCCCGGGCAUAUGGAAGUUCCCAGACUAGGGGUCAAAUCAGAGCUACAGCUGCAGGCUUAUGCCACAGCCACACCAGAUCCGAGCCAUAUCUGUGACCUGCACUACAGCUUGAGGCAAUGCCAGCUCCUUAAUACACUGAGCAAGGUCAGGGAUUGAACCCACAUCCUCACGGGUACUAGUCGGUUUGUUAACCUGCUGAACCACAAUGGAAACUCCAGAAGGUCUUUCUUAAUGCUGGCACUGCCUGGCCUUCUGGGUGCACCUCGUGCAGCCCGACUUUCAUUCUACCAUCAAGAGAUGAUUAAUAAUAUACAAUACUAUAUUUUCACCCACCCUGAAGCCUUUGCAUAGACCACUGAACUCUCUGCCCCAUUUCUCCUCAGAGGUCUUACCUGUCCCACAUAACUCAGGCAUAAAUAGAUGCCACUUCCUCUAAGAGCCUUUCUCUCAUCUCUCAUCUGCCCCUAUAGGUGGUUCCAUUUGCCUUCCAUGCUUGAUCUAAUUCAGCAAUGAUUCCAUUUUAUCAUAGUGCUUUGUCUAUCAACAGUUUCUCCUUGGAGUUCCCGUGGUGGCUUACUGGAAAGGAAUCUGACUAGCAUCCAUGAGGACGCAUGUUUAAUCCCUGGCCUCGCUCAGUGGGUUAAGGAUCCGGCAUUGCCAUGAACUGUGGUACAGGUCACAGGCACGGCUUGGAUUCUGCGUUGCUGUGGCUGUGGUGUAGGCCUGCACCUGCAGCUCCAAUGACCCCUAGCCUGGGAACCUCCAUACACCACGGGUACGGUCCUAAAAAGACAAAAAAUAAAAAUAAAGAGAUACUUUUAUCCUGGUAACCUGGAUGCCCAUUCUAUUGAUCUAUCUUUUAAAAAUUAUUUUUAUUGAAGCAAUAAUUGACAUAGUAUGAUGACGAUGAUGAUGACGACACAACAUAUUAUUAUUAUUAUUAGUUUCAGGUGUAUAACUAAUCUCUCUCCUGGAAAGAAUAAAGCUGAUGAAUUGUACAAACAAGAUCAACGACAACACUUCUUUGAUUCCUUCAUCAAAACCACCCUUCUCCUUCUUACUUCCUCUCCUCACUAAAAUCAUUUAGCAAGGUGAGGCCAAGCAGAUUGCAUCUGCUUGGUAUUUGUGCACAACUCCAAAGAUAAAAAAGUGUUAUCAUGGCUGAUAAUUAUGUGAAUGACUGAGACAUAAUCUGAAUAAAAAACCUUAGGUUCCCUUGAAGUAAAAUCACUUUACUGUCCCUAAUAUACUGCAAAGCAAAUAGAAUGAGCAAGGAAGCUAUAAGGACUUAAUCAAAUAGACUUCUUAUAAAUAAGAAUUGAGAUUCACUAUCCACCAAAAAUGCAAUUACCCUCCCCCUACUAACAGCGCCCUAAUUUAGACUGUGCACCAAAAAAAAAUAAAAUAAAAUAAAAAGGAAGAAAAGAAAAGCUUUCAGGUUAUAAGACAAUUUUACAUUAAGGUCUAAGAUUAAUCUUAAUGCCAUUCUCUCUCCUGAAUCUGUGGUCUGCAGAACUUCAGCUUUAAUAAUACCAUCAUGCAUCCCACCAUCACCAAAUGCAACUUUGCAGUCACUCUUCCCAACAGUGUAAAAGAGCAAGCCAUGAUGGGUCAAACUCAUUAACGCCAAUCUUUGGCAGAUUUGGUAAUGGUGUAAAAACCAGAAACCUGGUACGAGCCAACCACAGUCUCAGAUUCAAGAAACGGCAUGACUUAAGUAACGAAAGAAUAAAAGCCCAUCUCCACUCAUGUGAAAAUGACCAGGCGGGCUAUUAACAACUACCAAGGCCACAAAACAUUCUCUCUGGGAUUCAUAUUUUCAGAGACCUAGAACUAAAACUACCAGGAAAACAGUGUGUUGGACAGGGAAGGAAGAUUGAAAUGAAGGUGGUCAAAAGGUACAAACUUCCAGUUUUAAGAGAAAUAGCUACCAGGGAUGCAAUAUACACCGUGAUGAAUUAACAACUGUGAUAUAUUCUACAUGACAGUUGAUAGGAGAGAGAGUAAAUAAAUCCUAUGAGUUCUCAUCACAAAAUUUUUUUUAUUCCUUUAAUUUUUAUCUAUAUGAGACGAUGGAUGUUCACUAAUUGUGUCAUUAUUUCAUGAUAUAUUACAUCGAAGCACCUUAAACUUAUACAGUGCUGUAUGUCAAUUGUAUCUCAGUAAAAGUGGAAGAGAAAAUAUGAAAAAUUAGAGGAAGAGAGACAUAAAAAAAAGAAAAAAUGUGUUUAUGAUGUAAAGGUAACUAGCAGAGAUAAUUAGAUCUUAUUUUUCAUAUUUAUGACUUGGCUGAGUUUUAACUUUUCUGAUCCUCAAUUUCUUCAUCUGUCAAAUGGAUUCAUGAGACCCUGGUGAGAGGUAAAUGUGAUUGAAUGUAUUAUGCUCAUAGGUAGGGCUUUAGUUUGUGUUGAGGAGUAUGAACUAGAGAAGAGAGUAAUUGUUUUCUUCUUUUUCAGUUGCACACACAGCAUAUGGAAGUUCUUGAGCCAGGGAUCGAAUCCAGGCCGAAGCUGUGACCUAUGCUGCUGCUGCAGCAACAGUAUAUCCUUAACCCACUGCAACACAGUGGGAACUCCACAAGCGAUUUGUGAUACAACCACUUUGUCAUGCAUCCAGUCAUUUAGCAAAUGCUAGUGAACACUACUCCAUGCCAGGCUGAAAGCAGAGAAAAACAAAAUGAGGUCCCUACCCUCGAGGAGCUCACAGUCAAGAUCUGUGCUGUCCAAAACAGUCUUCAGCAGUCAGAUGUGAAAAUUUUUAAUGAAAGUUAAAUGUAAACCAAAAAUCCAGUUCAUCAGUUGCACAAGUCACAUUUCCAGUGCUCAAUAGCUAUGUGUAGGUGCCAGUCAUGUGUUGGCUACCAUACUGGAUAACACAGAAGAUUUUCACCAUCACGCAAAGUUUUAUUGAAUAGCUGUGGUCUACAGGAGCAAGACUAAGAAGUACACAGGUAAAUUUUACCAUACUCCAAUAGGCAGUAAUCUGAUAACAGUAAGGGAUUUUAUAAUGGAAGUGAUUUUCUUGAAAGACAAGUAGGUUUUGUUUUUUUAGGAGCAGAAUGGGGAGCCAGGUGGAACCACAAGUACAAAGGCACUUCAGGAGGUACUGAGGUUCUAAGUGGAUUAGGAUGCAACUUGGGAAGAGAUCACAGCCCAAGUAAGAAUCAGGGUCUAACUCACAAAGAGUGACCUAUUGGAUGUGUAUUACAGAAAGCUAACCAUGCAGUGGUUGUCAACUCUGGAGAUGCACAUGACAACUCUUCUGCAAAGCUUUUGAAAAUGCUGGUGACAGAGCUCUAACCCCCACUGAAUUAAAACCAGUUCUGGGCAUGGGACCUAGACUUCAUUAAGCCUUAAAAUCCCCAAGUGAUUUACAUGCAGCCAGGGUUAAAAAUCAGUGGAGAUGACCAAGAACUGACACUGUGGUUAAGCUGAACGAAGAAGUACGAGGAAGAGUCUACUGCAAUAGUCCUAUCAACAGAUGGCAGGGAACCUCACUUCACACAGGAAUAGGAAGAAGAAACACAGAUAUUAGUAUAAUUUUCAAAGACAGAAUUAAUACGAUCUGGAAACCAAGAAUAUGAACAAUCAGAGAAGAAAAAAAUAUAACAGCUUCUAGCCCUUGGCAAUAAUGACCAAGAUUAAGCAUAUAGAAAAUUGAGCAGGUUUAAGAGGCAAAGAGUAAAAAUUAGCUUAGUUUUUUAGAGCCACUGCCUGCUAAGUUCUGCAGAGCAUCUGGUAGAAAAGUCUAGGAGGUCAGAGGAACUAACUGCCCAGAUUCUACAAGAGGAGGAGGCCAGAGAGUGGGGUACAGAGGACUCGUGAAGAGUGCUUGCAGGAUCCAUACAGAGUGAAUUAAUUUCCUGUAAACUUCAACAGGAGAGAAGACACACUCUUUGCAAGUCCUGCUCUAUCUCCAACUAUUCCCCACUGUGCAUCAAGGUCCCCAUCUUCCUGGCAUCACCAACAACCCACGAGCAUCCUUUCCAACACCACUUACUGGUUGUAUGACCUUGAACAAAUCACUGUACUUUCUGGGUCUGCGCUUCAGGUUCCUAACACUCAAAGGAAAGGAUGAACUAGAACCAGUUGCUACCAAGGGGCCCUUCCAAUUUGAAGACUCUACAGACAUAUAUAUUACCUUCUGAAGAGCCGAAGUUACAGAUACAAUUUAUAAUCAUUUCUAACAUUUAUAUAUGCAUCAAUUUGUAUAACAUAUUCACUUGUAUUCCUGAAAUGUUAUCUAGCCCUGAGAUAUAAUAAUUAAUAUAAUUUCAUAAAUUAUAUAAAUUCCAAAAAAUUACACAAAUGUAUAUUCUUUGUCUUAAACUUGUUCAUCAAAAAGACACAGUCAACAUUUUGUUUAGUAUUGAAUACCAAAUUUUUGUGCUUUUUCCUUUGCCAUGCUAAAGUAAGGGGUUGCAAACUCUAGCACCUACAGGGCCAGAGUAUCAUAUUAAUGAGUGAAGCAGUCCCGAGGACAAUGAUGAACUCUAGUUCCCCACCCCAGCUAAAGGGGGCAGGGAUUACGCAGCACCACGCCACAGCUGCCAUUUGGGGCCAUGGACCCAGUGUUGUUUCAGAAACCCUCAUUGUUUCAGGUAUAAUCUCUUGAUAUUUAAACCCUGGCAACCAACACAAAUCAUUUUAAAAUGCUGUGCAGGAGUUCUCAUUGGGGCUCAGUGGAAACGAAUCCAACUAAUAUCCAUGAGGACACCGGUUUGAACCCUGGCCUUGCUCAGUGGGUGGGGAUCCGAUGUUGCUGUGAGCUGUGGUGUAGGUCAAAGACGCUGCUUGCAUCUGGCAUUGCUGAGGCUAUAGUGUAGGCCAGCAGCUGUAGCUCCAAUUCAACCCAGAGCCUAGGAACUUCCAUAUGCCACGGGUGUGGCCCUAACCCCCCCCCCCAAAAAAAAGUUUUUUAGACCAAACUUGGCCCAAGGCUGUCAGAUUGUACCUGGUCCCAAAGUACACCAUCCUGCGCAACUUUUAAACCUGAAAAACAGAAAACAUGCACAAAACAAGAAAGAAGGCCUCUUAAGUCCCUAUGAUAGUUCGGAGCAUUGGGAUGAGUUUAAGCAAGUCAGAGCAAUAACACUAGCCUAGGACUUGCAGCCACCUUUAUCCUGAGUGCCUAUAAUGAAAUCUACAAAAUGCAUUCAUUGUUAUGAAACAUCUGUGUGGAGUAUGAAUGGAGAAGAGCACACCUGAUAAACGAAUUCUUCAUGUACCAAAUAUCAGGUGGACUUUUAACACAGCGAGGUAAACAUGUGAUAAUUCAUAGUCUGCUGAUAGCAGCCAAUAUCCCCCAGGGCAUUCAAAAGAGAAAAAUACUUUAUUUAGCAGCAAUUUCACUCUAUUUCUUGCUUUCAGACAGGGGGAAAAAAACUCUUCUCUUUUCAUUAUACUCUUGAUUUUAUUUUUGUGUGUGAAGUACUAAGCAAUCUGGCACACAUUAGCAGGAAGAGGCCAACCGUACAUGGAAUAUACUAUUACCCUCAUUCUCAAAGCAUGAUGAAAUGCGAUCUUCCGCUACCAGAUCACCUUAAAACCACUGCAACACUGUGACUCUGCCAAUAGGAAGAAGUUUGUAUUGAGGAAGGUUGCCCUGUGCUACCCAGUGGACUCAAUGGGGGAGAAAUCCAUGAGAGAGGGCAAAAAAAAAAAAAAAAAAAAAAAAAAAAA
RNAcentral lists this long non-coding RNA (6184 nucleotides) under Sus scrofa (pig). Its description in RNAcentral is "lncRNA (ENSSSCG00040041861.1)". The record is from RNAcentral. Lineage: Eukaryota; Metazoa; Chordata; Mammalia; Artiodactyla; Suidae.